RNAcentral lists this long non-coding RNA (1227 nucleotides) under Felis catus (domestic cat). RNAcentral's name for it is "lncRNA (ENSFCAG00000046937.1)". Lineage: Eukaryota; Metazoa; Chordata; Mammalia; Carnivora; Felidae. The record is from RNAcentral.
CGCGCUGGAGCCCCUGAGGUGUUGGGGGUGGGGACUCCACGCGCGAGGUGACGCCGUGGCUGCACGAGGACAUCCCGGCGCGCGGAGCCCGGUGGUGAGCGCCAUAGUGUGGGAGGCGAGCCUUGGUGCCCUUUAGCUGGUGUGUUUGCCACCUGCUUCCUGGAAGAAAGAACCUCAAUCACUGGACACAGACUCAGGGUCGGAAAGGUGACGUUGUCCUAGGGUCAUAGCUAGUGAGUGACCCUGUGGGGUUGUGGCCUGUCUCAUUUCCCAGUCGCUGCUUUUCAGCUGCUUCCCUGGGUUACCCCGCUUCUGAAAGGGCACCUAAGGGCCAGAGUGGAAAUCCGACUUCCGACCGACAGUUCUCCAGGAUUCUGUGGAUCUGAACUCCCUCCUGUACAACAGUUCUCCAGGGUCAUGUGGAUCUGAACUCGCUCCCUUACGACCGUUUUCUAGGAUCCUGUGGGUCUGAUCUCCCUCUCGUACAACAGUUCUCCGUGGUGUGGAUCUGAACUCCCUCCCAUAUGACAGUUCUUGAGGAUGGUGUGGAUCUGACCUCCUUCCCGUAUCCUGUUGUUGACUGGGGCACAAGGUCGGACUUACACACCUUUCCACCUGUGAGACCCUUCCGUUUUGCAUUUGGCCUGUCUGCCAUCAUUCCCUGGCCCUGUGUGGAUUCCAAGUCCUGUGACGCCUUGCUGUUAGAACGCUCCCUCAAGCUGUAAAUGAUAAAGGACUCAGGUAAUGUACUUUCUCGGAAACUCCUAAAGCAAGAAAUCAUCUGUGAUCUGAAGGGAAGAGCUUUUAUGAGUCUUUAUGGGCACGUUUCAGGCAUCUGGUCAGGCAGUUGUGUUACUGUUUUUGGUGCGCUAGUUUGCAAAGCUGUGUGUGGCUAGGGCUGGCUUCUAGCAGACAAGGAGCUGACGGUCCUGGGUGAGACAAGGUGCCUUGGCCGAGGCUUUCUGGGUCCCAUGCUGGCUGCCUCCACACAGCUGGAGCACAUGAUGAUCAUGGACCAUACAGGCCAGGCGGAGAGCACACUGCAUCCUGGGAGCCGCGAUCAUUUGCUCUCUUAGCGCCGCGGCAUUGGAGGAAGGUAGAUGUGGGUCACUAAAGGUCCCUUCAUCCUCUCUGUUCCCUUUCUUCUGGUGAACCAGGCUUGUCUGCCCUCUUGCUGGAAAUAUCUUUGUAAAUAAACAGAAACUUUUCCACUUGACUUGUUUUAGA